CAGCCGCCGCGGUAAUACGUAGGUGGCAAGCGUUGUCCGGAAUUAUUGGGCGUAAAGGGCUCGCAGGCGGUUUCUUAAGUCUGAUGUGAAAGCCCCCGGCUCAACCGGGGAGGGUCAUUGGAAACUGGGAAACUUGAGUGCAGAAGAGGAGAGUGGAAUUCCACGUGUAGCGGUGAAAUGCGUAGAUAUAUGGAGGAACACCAGUGGCGAAGGCGACUCUCUGGUCUGUAACUGACGCUAAGGCGCGAAAGCGUGGGGAGCAAACAGGAUUAGAUACCCCAGUAGUCCCUGUCUCUUAUAC
RNAcentral lists this ribosomal RNA (301 nucleotides) under uncultured bacterium. RNAcentral's name for it is "partial 16S ribosomal RNA". It matches the Rfam family "Bacterial small subunit ribosomal RNA", at positions 509 to 807 of the family's 1533-position model. The record is from RNAcentral.